AACGAACGCUGGCGGCAUGCCUAACACAUGCAAGUCGAACGAGACCUUCGGGUCUAGUGGCGCACGGGUGCGUAACGCGUGGGAACCUGCCCUUAGGUUCGGAAUAACUCCCCGAAAGGGGUGCUAAUACCGGAUAAUGUCUUCGGACCAAAGAUUUAUCGCCUUUGGAUGGGCCCGCGUUGGAUUAGCUAGUUGGUAGGGUAAAAGCCUACCAAGGCGACGAUCCAUAGCUGGUCUGAGAGGCUGAUCCGCCACACUGGGACUGAGAAACGGCCCAGACUCCUACGGGAGGCAGCAGUGGGGAAUAUUGGACAACGGGCGAAAGCCUGAUCCAGCAAUGCCGCGUGAGUGAUGAAGGCCUUAGGGUUGUAAAGCUCUUUUACCCGGGAUGAUAAUGACAGUACCGGGAGAAUAAGCACCGGCUAACUCCGUG
This 433-nucleotide ribosomal RNA is filed under the name uncultured bacterium. RNAcentral's name for it is "partial 16S ribosomal RNA". It matches the Rfam family "Bacterial small subunit ribosomal RNA", at positions 29 to 507 of the family's 1533-position model. The record is from RNAcentral.